UAGGUGAUGGGAAGAAAGUGUUCGCCUG
RNAcentral lists this non-coding RNA (28 nucleotides) under Homo sapiens (human). Lineage: Eukaryota; Metazoa; Chordata; Mammalia; Primates; Hominidae. The record is from RNAcentral.